This 460-nucleotide ribosomal RNA is filed under the name uncultured bacterium. Its description in RNAcentral is "partial 16S ribosomal RNA". It matches the Rfam family "Bacterial small subunit ribosomal RNA", at positions 338 to 795 of the family's 1533-position model. The record is from RNAcentral.
CCUACGGGAGGCAGCAGUGAGGAAUAUUGGUCAAUGGGCGGGAGCCUGAACCAGCCAAGUCGCGUGAGGGAAGACGGUCCUAUGGAUUGUAAACCUCUUUAGGCGGGGAGCAAUGCAGGGCACGCGUGCCCGGAGGGAGAGUACCCGCAGAAUAAGCAUCGGCUAACUCCGUGCCAGCAGACGCGGUAAUACGGAGGAUGCGAGAGUUAUCCGGAUUGAUUGGGGUUAAAGGGUGCGUAGGCGGAUUUUUAAGUCAGCGGUAAAAUGUCCGGGCUCAACCCGGGCCGGCCGUUGAAACUGGGGAUCUUGAGUGGGCGAGAAGUAUGCGGAAUGCGUGGUGUAGCGGUGAAAUGCAUAGAUAUCACGCAGAACUCCGAUUGCGAAGGCAGCAUACCGGCGCCCGACUGACGCUGAGGCACGAAAGCGUGGGGAUCGAACAGGAUUAGAUACCCUUGUAGUC